Solanum tuberosum (potato) is the source of this 6384-nucleotide long non-coding RNA. RefSeq lists it as uncharacterized. NCBI's taxonomy places the organism in Eukaryota, Viridiplantae, Streptophyta, Magnoliopsida, Solanales, Solanaceae. The transcript is spliced from 9 exons. The record is from RefSeq and is a predicted model, not a curated record.
AUAUUUGUUAAUAAUCUUUGUAGUUAUGAUCUUUCUUGAGUUGUAUCUACUUUUGGAUCAUCUACUACUAAUGCCUGCCAUCAAGAUUUAUCACAAACUCUAUACUUUGCUUUAUUGAGAUACUUGUCAAGAUUUAUCUGUCAAGAUUUCACAAUAUUUGUUAAUAAUCUUUGUAGUUAUGAUCUUUCUUGAGUUGUAUCUACUUUUGGAUCAUCUACUAUUAUUGCCUGCCAUCAAGAUUUAUCACAAACUCUAGACUUAGCCUCCUUGUCAAGAUUUAUCCACUCAAUCUGUUGGUUUUCUGUCACCAAUUAGAGAAGUAACGUUAGUUAUGUCUUGAUAAUUAGGUUUUGACAUAACAAAACAAGUUAAAUGUUUGUAAAUUCAAUAGCUUUCUUUUAUGGUGUUUUCAUGUAAAAUCGGCUAACCAUCCUUCAAAUCUAAUGUUAUCGUCGUAUGCAGGUACGACAACUGUAUUUGCUACUUGUGUAGAUUUCAUGGAGAAUUAGUGAAGCCUUAUGAUACAAGUAGAUUUGGGUAUUAUAGUCUGCUUUACAUUCUUAUUCCUUCGUCAAAGGGUAACCUCUUGGCCUUCUGAUUGUCUUGCAGUUGGAUAUUCUCAUAUAAAAUCAAUAUUGGGGCAUCCUGCAUCCUCUUAGAUGGUUGACAAAAGCAUCAUGGCAUAUGAUUUCACUGCCUACUCAUGAGAUGUUCCACACUUUAUUACAAGCCAUCAACACUUGUCACCUACUCUACAGUUUGCUUCCUUACGUACUUGUCAAUACACACUAGAUCCACUCGAUUUGUUGGUAUGGAGUCAUGGCCUCACCAAUUUUCUGAUGCUACUUUUUUCAACACUGCCACUUCAGAAGACCGCUCAACUGAUCAUUAUAACUAUUAAAGAAGUAAUGUUUAUUUAUGUCUGGAUAAUUACAAGUCCCAGAAAAUACCUUUCAAAUUUUGGUAUAGCUAUAUUAGAGUAAAUUAUCUUAGCCUUCUCCCUUUAUUUUCCUAUUAUUUCUUUUUCUUUUUCACUUUCCAUGGUUGAUUGAGUUCACUCAUGCAUGUUUCUAUUUUUCUAUGUUGUUUUCUAGAACAUCUGUGCUAUAGAAUUCAACAAAAUUUGCUGUCAGAAAGAUGGCAAUUUUAGUAUGUACAAAAUGCUAUGUUAAUACAGGCGCUCAAAAGUAUGGAAACCAUUGCUAGAAGUUAUGAACCAUUGGUGUAGCUAUGUAAGAUAUAUAGCUCCCUUCUGUUCCCUUUCUUUUAUUUACUUUUAUCCUUUCAUAUUUGAUUAAGCUUUUUCAGUUGUACACAAUUCUAUUAGUGUAUGUUGUUUUUGUAUAGGUCCUACAGAAUUCAGAAAAGUUUGCUAUAAAGAAGAAAACAAGUCUAGGAUGUAUACUGCUGGGUGAUCCAAGUAGAAAAUUCAUCACAGAGACAUAUAGUUGUUUUAGGGUGUUUGGCUUUCCCAGAGAAAGUUUCCUUCUCCCUUCAUUUUCCUUUUCUAUUAUUUACCUUUUCUUUUUCUGUUUUUUUGUUCUCUUUCCAUGGUUGAUUCAGCUUCAUACAUUGUGAUUCUCUCAGCUGUUUCAGGUGUUUUUGCCCAUGCCUGUUUCACAGGUGCUCCAAGUGGUACAACCAUCGCUAGAAGCUACAGAAAGAGUUCAACAAAAUUUGCUGUCAGAAAGAUGGCAAAUUUAGUAUGUACAAAAUGCUAUGUCAAGACAGGUGCUCAAAGUAUGGAAACCAUUGCUAGAAGUUAUGAACCAUUGGCGUAGUGAUGUAAGAUAUAUAGCUCCCUUCUGUUCCCUUUCUUUUAUUUACUUUUAUCUUUCCAUAUUUGAUUAAGCUUUUUCACUUGCACACAAUUCUAUUAGUGUAUGUAGUUUUCUUGUAGGUCCCGCAGAAUUCAGAAAAGUUUGCUAUAGAGAAGAAAACAAGUCUAGGAUGUAUACUGCUGGGGGAUCCAAGUAGAAAAAUCAUCAGAGAGACAAAUAGUUGUUUUAGGUUUUUGGCUUUCCCAGAGAAAGUUUCCUUCUCCCUUCACUUCCCUUUUCUAGUAUUUACCUUUUCUUUUUCUGUUUUCUUGUUCUCUUUCCAUGGUUGAUUUAGCUUCAUGGAAUUGUGAUUCUCUCAACUGUUUCAGCCUUUCAGGUGUUUUUGCCCAUGCCCGUCCCGUUUCACAAGUGCUCCAAGUGGUACAACCGUCGCUAGAAGCUCCAGAAAGGUAUUGCCAUAAAAAAAAAGUUGAAUAGUGGUUCAAGGUAUUCUUUCGUAGAGUAAGUUAUCUUGGCCUUCUUCCUUUAUUUCCCUUUUAUUUUAUUUCCUUUUUUUCUGUUUCCGUGGCUUUUCCUAUUAAUAAAUGUUGUUUGCAUAGAACACCGGUGCCAUAGAGUUGAGAAGGUUUGCUUUCAAGAAAAUAGAUCUAGAAUGUACUGAACUGCUAGUACGGACAGGUGCUCCAUCGAAGCUAGGAACUGUGACCAAGCUAUUGGCAUAGAUAUGUGAGAGAUAUAGCCAUUUCAGGUAUGGCUUUGUCAGAAAAAGUUAUCUUAGUGUUUGCCCUUCAGUUUCCUCCUAGUUUAUUACUUCUUCUCUUUCCAUUUUAGGUGUUUCCAUUUGGAUCGUCAAUUGUUUGGUGUUAAAAUUUCAAUUUAACUUCACAUGUUUAUUGAUACUCUUUGGACUCUACUGACAUCAACUUAAUGGGGAUACUGUUCUUUGUGGUAUUGAUGUCUUAAAACUUUGUAUGGAGAUGUGCUUGUUCUAUCCGAUCUCAUUCUCGAUGUCAUGGUCUCUGUUGGUUUGAUUUGUGCUUAAUUGUUACUUUGUAAUUGGGUUAUACAGUAACAUUAUAUGCUUGGUGCUGCAGUGUCGAAAAAGAGCCCUCUUCAGAACUUACUACUUGGGCUUAGCAUUAUGAUAGACAUGGGCAUUAUGACUUUCUAUUAAAAAAAUGUACAUUGUGAAUUCCUGUGCUAGUUCAUAUGUUCUAGUACUGUAUGGACAUUGAGAAAAUCUUUGGAAAGACAUUGGAUGGGCUUUAGCAGAGAUGGAAGGCGUUUGAACGAAGCUCUUCAAACUGUGAAGAGCGAGGAAGUUGGCAACAAGCAACAUGGAUGAUAUGGCUUGAACCCUAUGUGAAAUGUGAAAACAUGUACAAUAAGCUAGGUUUCCAUGGCGGUCAGGCAUGCCAUAUUACACUUUUUCAAGUGGAGUUCAAUUUCUUUCUAUCUUUUAUCACAUUUCCUCUUCAGCUGGAUUUAUUUGCAGUGUAAAUUUUCCAGAGUUAUAAAUCAUUCCUUGCCUUUUGCAAUGUGAUAUGUGAAACCGUGACAAGAAGCUAAAUUUCCUUGGUAGUCAGGUGUGUCCUAUCAUGCUUUUUCUGGUGGAAUUCACUAUCUUUCUUUUUUCAAAUUGCCUCUUCAGCUGGAAUUAUUUGCAGUAAAAGCUCCAAGAUUUGUAAAGCACUCCUUGCCUUUUGCAACUUGAAUAUGGGGACAUGGUUAUCUUUUAAAAGUUGCCUUGAAAUAGAAGUUGGUCACUACUACUCUUUUUGCAAUUGACGUACAGAGGUUGGUGGGCCAAAGUUAGCCUUAUGCUGUCAAAUGCUAUCUUCAUGUAACCCCCUUUAUCACAUCACAUUCCUCUAUUAUCUUAAUAUACCGAAAAAGAAAAUGGCACUUAUCAAUAACCUUUACAAGGCCUUCAAGGAGGCAAGCAUCUAACUAAUGAUCAAUGAGCAUCUAGAGGACCGGAUUAUUAUUUUUAGGUCCCGCAGAAUUCAGAAAAGAAAUCAAGUCUAGGAUGUAUACUGCUGGGUAAUCCAAGUAGAAAAAUCAUCACAGAGACAAAUAGUUGUUUCAGGUGUUUGGCUUUCCCAGAGAAAGUUUCCUUCUCCCUUCACUUUCCUUUUCUGUUAUUUACCUUUUCUUUUUCUGUUUUCUUGUUCUCUUUCCAUGGUUGAUUCAGCUUCAUGGAAUUGUGAGUCUCUCAACUGUUUCAGCCUUUCAGGUGUUUUUGCCCAUGCCCGUUUCACAGGUGCUCCAAGUGGUACAACCAUCGCUAGAAGCUCCAGAAAGGUAAUUCCAUAAAAAAAAAAAAAUUGAAUGGUGGUUCAAGGUAUUCUUUCGUAGAGCAAGUUGUCUUGGCCUUCUUGCUUUAUUUCCCUUUUAUUUUAUUUCAUUUUUUCUGUUUCCGUGGCUUUUCCUAUUAAUAAAUGUUGUUUGCAUAGAACGCUGGUGCCAUAGAGUUGAGAAGGUUUGCUUUCAAGAAACAGAUCUAGAACGUACUGAACUGCUAGUACGGACAGGUGCUCCAUUGAAGCUAGGGAACUGUAAGCAAGCUAUUGGCAUAGAUAUGUGAGAUUAUAGCCAUUUCAGGUGUUUCCAUUUGGAUCGUUCAUCCUCUCUAUUGCAUUUGAAGCGAUUGUUUGGUGUUAAAAUUUCAGUUUGACUUCACAUGUUUUAUUGAUACUCUUUGGACUCUACUGACAUCAACUUAAGGAAGAUACUGUUCUUUCUGGUAUUGAUGUCUUAAAACUUUGUACGGAGAUGCGCUUGUUCUUUCCGAUCUCAUUCUUGAUGUCAUGGUCUCUGUUGGUUUGAUGCGUGCUUAAUUGUUAACUUUGUAAUUGGGUUAUACGGUAACAUUAUGCUUGGUGCUGCAGUGUCGAAAAGAGCCCUCUUCAGAACAUACUUUUUGGGCUUAGCAUUAUGAUAGGCGUGGGCAUUAUGACUUGCUAUUAAAAAAUGAUGAGACAAAGGAACAAAUUCAAACUAUUAUCAAGGUAUAUUUGCUGAUGUGUUCACCAUUCAUUUCUCUUACCUUUACUGCUCUUUUGUUCACUUAUAGAUCUAGCGACAUCUAUGGGUGAUUUAUUAAGCGGAUUUUCCGAAAAAGGGUUUUUAAUGAGACAAUGCUUCCAACUUUCAAGUGUUGGGAAAAAUAAAUGUAUGUGCAGAUAGUCUUCAAUAACUUGUUACAAAUAAUGUACUGAUCUGUUUUUUUCCUAGUAAAGAGUGUGCUUACUUUAAUCCUCAAAAAAAGAGUGUUUACUUUGGUGAGUAUGCAAUUGAAGUACUAUAGUUGGAAUCGAUAAAUCAAAUUCUUUUGGUCUUGUUUAUUAUGUGGCAGUUUAUAGUGUUUCAGUGGACGAGUUCCGCUUGAGCUUUGUAUUGCUUCUCGGCGGUGUAGACUCCUUAGCAAGGAAGCUGGAGCUGCUUAUGCUCUUUUUGAUCUCUUCCAUUGUUAAAGGUGAAAAGGUAAGAGCUGAAUUAUCAGAGGUAAUACAGCCAAUAUGAUGUGACUAUGAUUGACAGAAUUAUUACUGGAGAAAUAAUCUCUUCUCUUGCUAUUUGGUGAAGUACAAAGGUAUAUGUCAUUUUGUAUCAGAUUUUGCUUACACUUGGAAUCAGUUUUUGUUUACUGUUCAAGGAAUCACCUUUUAGCAGUAAUUUAUUUUAUUGAAACUGAUCAACUCAAUUUGAUCGAUACAAUAAUUGUGUGUCUAAAAGAAGUUAUAUGAAUCAGCGAGCCUUUCCCCUUUUUAUGAAAUUAGGUUGUUUCCUUUCUAUUACAACCAGAUUUUUACCUGUCAAUUGUAUGCUUUGUAUCUUUGAGAAAAUUGUGUCUUAUUCACAAUAAUAAGUUUUCUGAAGUUUGAGAAAAUUGUAUCUUAUUCACAAUAAUAAGUUUUCUGAAGCCAAUGUGAAAUCGAAACACACUGACGAGAAGCUAAGUUUCCAUGGCAGUCUGGCAUGUCCUAUCAAUUGCAUUUCCAGUUUGAUUUUAUGCUUUUGAGCUCAAUAUGUUUCUGUUUUUUUUUCAUAUUGCCUCUUCCGAUGGAUUUAUUAGCAUUGUGAAUUUCCAGGGUGACUGUCUUUUGCAACUUAAAGACGCGGACAUGAUUUUCUUGUAAAAUCGUUUUAAUAUCAACAUUCUAUGAAAAGGCUGAUCCAAACUUUGUAAUGUUGACACCGACCAAGGAGCACUUGGCGGAAGGAAUAAACUGGAAAGUUGGGAAGAGACCACCGACUUGUCACUUCCAAUCAUGGUAAUGUCGUAAUGAGGGAAUAACUAAAGAACAUAAAUCGCAUUACACCUCUUCAUGAUUUCGCAGCCAUGCUGAGAAGUAGCUAGUUUAAUACUAUGUUCAUUUCGAACUAGGUACCACUUGAAACUAAUAACUCUACUUGAAACUAAUAACUCUUAAGAGUCUAGAUUCAGUACAUAAAUUAUAUUUGCUAUGUGUGCGGAGAUCACAGAGAGAUAAAUGUAGCUUUUGGUAUUAUAGUAUGUUUUACAUUCUUAUUCUGUCCUCAUAUGGUAACAUCCAUCUUGGCCUUUUGAUCGUCUUGCAGUUAAACAUUCUCAUCUAAA